Molecule: long non-coding RNA, 2028 nt
Organism: Equus asinus (donkey)
Lineage: Eukaryota; Metazoa; Chordata; Mammalia; Perissodactyla; Equidae
Source: Ensembl
GUGCAAUAGAAGUCUGUUAAGGCUAGUUUGUUUAUAGAGAUUUUCAAGUCUUUUAUUUCAGUUCAGUCUUUUCCUUAGUUGUUCUAGACAUUAUUGAAGAGGGCUGCUGAAGUCUCUAACUUUUAUUGUUGAAUGAUCUGUUUCUACCUUCAGUUCUGCCAGGUUUUUAAAAAUGUAUUUUGGAGUUCUGUUGAUAGGUGCAUAUAUGUUUUGUAGGGACCUGAAAUUGGCCACCCCAAGAUAUGUCUCUUUGGCAUCAGGAUUAUUUGAGGCUGAUUGCUUUUGACAAACUGGGACAGGGAAGGAGGCUCUGAGGAACGGAACUUGCCCUUCGUUAGGACACAUUUACAUUUGUAAGGCUAGGAACUGAUUGCUGCGCUCGCCCAGCUCCAGACAAUCGACUUGCCUCCUGCUACGCCCACCGAGAUAGCAGACCACUACCUGCUGUGUCCAUCAAGCGCUGUGCCGACAGGGCAAUCUUGUGACUAUUGUGGGAGGGACAUGUCAAUCACAUGUGAAACACCCCGUUUGGGGGUAUAUAACCACUCUGUGCACCCCACUUCUUCGGUGCCCUUUCUUCCUUCGGGAAGAAAGGCCCCGGGCCAUGGUUCCUCAUAAAGCUUUGUUUAAUUUUCUCUUGCUAUUCUGUCUCAUGUGAAUUUAAUUCGUUCUCCGGCCAGACGAACCCCCAUUUGGGAAGAGGAAAUGUCUUCCACCCCUACAUUUACAAUUAUUAUAUCUCCUGAUGUAUGGGCUCUUUCAUCACUAUAAAAUGUCCCUCCUUAUCUCUAGUAAUCAUUUUGUUUUGAAGUCUACUUUGCAUGAUAUUAGUACCACAACUUCAGCUGUCUUAUGGUUGCUUUUUGCUUGAUAUAUCUGACAAGUCUGUCUUCCCUGUCAUGUGUGACCACUGAACAAACUCCAACUCUGCUCAGGUGGCUUAGUGGUCAGCUGCUGAUUACACAGAGGUUUAUAUAAUUGAUUGGAGCAAUAGAUCUCCCACCCUUUGUGGAGGGACUCUGUGUGUGUUGAAGCAGGCCUUCACUGCUCAGGCAGUUUACAGUUCUACCUUAGGCUUCACUUCUUGCUUUCACAGCACCUCAGCAUCUCCCGGAGUUGGAGAAAUUAGGACCUUUUUAGAUCUUUCCUGGGCAAGUGCACAGCCUUACACGUGCAUCUGCCUUCCCAGAUUCCCAGGAAUAUGUUGGAGCUUUGCAAAGCCCCAUAUGGACAUCUCUUUCCCCAAAUCUCCCUUUGUAAUUUUGUACAGUCUGGUUUGCCACAGUGUCAUUGCCACCUGUAUUAGUUUGUUAUGGCUGCUAUAACAAAUUACUACAGACUGGGUAGUUUAAAACAACUGAAAUUCAUUCUCUGGCAGUUCUGGAGGUUAGAAGUCUGAAAUCAAGGUGUUGUCAGGGCCUUUAUCCCUCUGAAGUCUCUAGGAAAGAAUCAUUCAUUCCCUCUUCCUGGCAUCUGGUGGUUAAUACAAUCCUUGGCAUUUCUUGGCUUGCAGCUGUGUCACUCCAAUCUCUGCCUCUGUUGUCAUGGGGCCUUCUUACCUCUGUGUGUCUCUUAUUUGUGUCUGUGUUCAAAUUUUUUUCUUCUUAUAAGGACACCAGUCACUGGCUUUAAGUCCCACCCUAAUUCAGUGUGACCUCAUUUUAACUUAAUUACAACCACAACGAUCCUAUUUCCAGAUAAGGUCACAUUCACAGGUACUGGGAAUUAGGACUUAAACACAUGUUUUGGAGGACACAAUUACAGAUAGGUACACAGUGAUAAUUCUCGUUGGCUCUUUGAAAGUUCCAAAUCUGUUCUGCCCCUUCCAGUGACUGCCCGGCGGAUGGCUUUCAUAGCUCCUCUGCUUGCAAUUCUGCUGCUUUUCAAGGCUUCCUCCGGGCUGAGGAGUGGAGACAGGGAAUAGGACAACAGGAGGAGCGGGAGCAGUGGUGACAGUCUCAUUGUCUCCUCAAAUCACACCAAUUAAUUUGCUUCCAUGGGCUUGCUUUAGUGGCAACUUACUCCACC